GUGCUCACUUCUGCAGCCCAUAUACUAAAAUCGGAAUGAUACAGAGAAGGUUAGCAUGGCCACUGAGCAAGGAUGACACGCAAAUUCGGGAGUGUUCCAUAGUUUUA
Molecule: small nuclear RNA, 107 nt
Organism: Choloepus didactylus (southern two-toed sloth)
Lineage: Eukaryota; Metazoa; Chordata; Mammalia; Pilosa; Megalonychidae
Source: RefSeq, a predicted model, not a curated record